UUCCGGUUGAUCCUGCCGGAGGCUACCGCUAUUGGAGUUCGAUUAAGCCAUGCGAGUCGAGAGUCCUCGGGACUCGGCGUACCGCUCAGUAACACGUGGGUAACCUGCCCUAUGCUGGGGAAUAACCUCGGGAAACUGAGAACAAUGCCCCAUAGCCCACUACGCCUGGAACGGUGAGUGGGUCAAAGCUCCGGCGGCAUAGGAUGGGCCUGCGCCGUAUCAGGUUGUAGGGGGUGUAAAGUACCCUCUAGCCAUCAACGCGUACGGGUGUUGGGAGACAUUGCCCGGAGAUGGAUUCUGAGACACGAAUCCAGACCCUACGGGGUGCAGCAGGCGCGAAAACUUGGCAAUGCGAGAAAUCGUGACCAGGGAACUCCAAGUGCGUAGGGUAAGACCUACGCUUUUCUUGACUCUUCAAAGGUCUUGGAAUAAGGGGUGGGUAAGGACGGUGCCAGCCGCCGCGGUAAUACCGGCGCCUCAAGUGGUAGUCGCUUUUAUUGGGCCUAAAACGUCCGUAGCCGGUCUGGUGCAUUCGUGGGUAAAUCAACCCGCUCAACGGGUUGAAUUCUGCGAGCACGGCCAGACUUGGGACCGGGAGAGGUGUGGGGUACUCUCAGGGUAGGGGUAAAAUCCUGUCAUCCUGAGAGGACCACCCUGUUGCGAAGGCGCCACACUAGAACGGA
This 683-nucleotide ribosomal RNA is filed under the name uncultured marine bacterium. RNAcentral describes it as "bacterial SSU rRNA". It matches the Rfam family "Archaeal small subunit ribosomal RNA", at positions 1 to 689 of the family's 1478-position model. The record is from RNAcentral.